RNAcentral lists this ribosomal RNA (206 nucleotides) under uncultured bacterium. RNAcentral describes it as "partial 16S ribosomal RNA". It matches the Rfam family "Bacterial small subunit ribosomal RNA", at positions 568 to 774 of the family's 1533-position model. The record is from RNAcentral.
CUCGUAGGCGGCACUGUAGGUCAGAAGUAAAAACGCAAGGCUCAACCUUGCGUCGCUUUUGAAACCGCAGAGCUUGAGUAUGGCAGGGGAGAAGGGAAUUCCACGUGUAGCGGUGAAAUGCGCAGAUAUGUGGAGGAACACCAGUGGCGAAGGCGCUUCUCUGGGCCAUUACUGACGCUGAGGAGCGAAAGCGUGGGGAGCGAACA